RNAcentral lists this long non-coding RNA (6068 nucleotides) under Ananas comosus (pineapple). RNAcentral's name for it is "long non-coding RNA (ACOM_LNC023585)". The record is from RNAcentral. Lineage: Eukaryota; Viridiplantae; Streptophyta; Magnoliopsida; Poales; Bromeliaceae.
AUGAAGUCUGACAACCGGUGAGGCUACUUUCACCUGCCACAACCCACUUUUCUUCCUACAUUUUUUUUUUCCUUCCUUCUCUAGAACAAAAGGGCACCACAUGUCCCUCUAGUCUCUCUCCUCUCCUCUACUUCUACCCUUCUCUCUUAUGCUCUCUUUUUCCUCUCCAUCUUCCUCUUCCUUCCCUGCUUUUCUUCUUCUCUUUAUUUCUCCUUCUAGGUCCUAUUGUUACGCCUGCCAAGUACAAUAAAAGGAUUAGGAGCAGUAAUAAGGAGGUUAGUGAGAGUAAUAAGCAAUAAAGAAGGAAGACGAGGGCUUAGCUUUGUCUCCGCUUCAUGCCUUGGGUUGAGAAGCUUCGACCUUCGAAAUUUAGCGCUUGGAGUCGUGCUCAGAGGUGAGAAGCGCGGAAGGGGAGAGGAGAGCGACGAGAGCGAGGAAGAAGAAUGGCGAACGGUCAGGAGGUCUAGGGUGAUUUGGCGAACUGACAGGGCAUCCAGAUAGUUCGGUGGUUUUGGAAGCCCACUGGGUAAAAGUUUGACAGGGCAUCCAUUACACCAUCAAGAGAAGGUCCAGAUCUACACAGCCCAAACCGGAUCUGUUGGGCCGCUGGUGGAAGGAUUGGAAGCCCGUUUAGGACUUAGGGUUUAUUUUUAUUCAAUUCAUUAUAUAUAAGAGGCAGUGUGUAGCUCAGGAGAUUUUUAUGAAGUUGAUUAAUGAAAAUUCUCCUUCUUCUUAACUUCUCUCUUAUUCUCUCUUAUCCUCCCUAUUUCCCCUGAUCCUUCUCCUCGGCGUCCUCAUCUCAGCGAGAUCUCAUCAUCGACGGGUUGCGCCGAGUCAGGUACGUAACAUAUACCUUACCAUUUCAAUGAGGCUGCCAUCUCCUCGCUAACUUCUGACCCGAAGAUGUGGAGUUGGAAACUUGGGGUGUAAAAAUCAUUCUUCAACCUUGAAUCAAAGAUAAAAAAUUUCGAAUAAAUAAUUUGUAUGUUGGUUCCUCUUCAUAUCUUUCCCUUAAGAUGGAAUUCUCUGUGUUUCCGCACUUUCUUAGUGUGAUUUGGGUUUCUUUUUGGUGCUUUGGGUAUUUCUCGUUUGACCAACCACACCUUGCCAUCAAUCGCGGCAGGCGCUAGUUGUACCUUCACCUUGGGCUACAUUCGUCAAUCAAUCAACCAAUUUUAGGGCAAUCAAGACGGUUGAUCAAGCCCUUCCCUAUUUGACUAAGGGCUGACUAUAGACUCAAUAUUGGACCUCUAGACCAUCCUUACUGACCCUACAAACACCAACAAAAUAUGACUAGAAGCUAUCUCUUAGCCCCCGUUUGGUUCGGGGUUAAGAAAAAGUAGCUAUUCCAGGGAUAGGGUUAAGUUCAGGGUUAAAAUUGUGUUAAAAUUUUUUUGUGUUUGGUUGGAGGUUGGAGUUAGUCUAGGAUAGUGAAAAAAAGUGUUUGGUUGGAGUAGGUGGGAUAAAAAGAUAAUGAUUGAUAAAGAAGAAAAAGGUGAGAGCUCGGGAUGCGUGCGGGGUUAAAGUUGGGAAGGUGAGUGGGGUUAAUGAUUGAUAAAGAAGAAAAAUGUGAGAGCUCGGGAUGCGUGCGGGGUUAAAGUUGGGAGGGGGAGUGGGGUUAGUAAACCCCACUAACCCGGUUUGGGGUGAGGUUUACUAACCCCACCCCAAAAGAGUGGUGUUUGGAUAUAAAUUAGGGGUUAAGGGGUUAUUUCACCCCUUAACCCCCAACCAAACGGUGGCUUAGGAGCCGUUUGGUUGGAUGUAGUUAUAAAAACAGUGUAGUUGGAAGUACAUGCAGUUGUAAAUGUUGCAGUCAUAACUAUACCUAGGGGCCGUUUGGUUAGAUGUAAUUAUAAAUGCAGUGUAGUUAGAGAUACAUGCAGUUGGAAAUACAGCAGUUACAACUACAUGAAUCAUGUUUGGUUGGAUGUAGUAGAAAGCGCUGCAAGUAUAAAUAAUUUGUUUGGUUGCAUGCAGUUGAGAAAUAAUUUUUAAAAUUUUAUUAUUUUAUAUAUAUGAUGGUGAGAUUACCUCCAAUGUAAUAAAGGAAAAUAAUUUUUAUUUGAAAAAUAUUGAGGAGGUAAGCAUACUUUUUACUCAAAGUUACUUUCUCCAACUGCUGUAGUUGGAACUGCGGCCAAUUUGCGCGUAGUUCGAACUGCUGCAGUUGGGCCUCCUCCUGCAGUUCCUAUUACAGCAGUUGGAGUUAAAUACAUCAAACCAAACACGAAAUUUGUAUUUACAUACAUUUACAACUGCAGUGCAGUCGCAACUACAUGCAACCAAACAGCCCCCUAGUCUGUUUGGUUUUAUGCAGUUGCAACUGCUGCAGUUACAUUUCUUCUGUUUGGUAGUCUGCAGUUGAGAUUUGUAUUUGUAAAUUCUGUCAAUAUUUAGAUAACAAUAUGAGAUUACCUCUUCUGAGCAUAACGUAAUCAUAUUUUAAUUAUUAAUUAAGACUUUAUAUCUAUAUAUAAUUUAUAUAUUAUAAAAUUAAGUAUGAAUUUAAUAAAUUUUAAAUAUAAAUAUAUUAUAAAUUUGGUCAAAAUAAAAAUUAAGAUAUUAUUAAACUAGCAGACUGAAAAAUAAAAAGUGUAUGAAAAAAAUUUAUUGACCCUAACAGACAUUACUAAAUCCUAUUAGAUUUCAUGAAUGUGUAUUUUUGAAAAAAAAAAUAAAAAAGGAAGCAUAUGAAAAAAAAAAAAAUUACACUUUGUUUAUAUUUUUAAUGGGCAAGCCGACUCCGGCUCAACUGCUGCAGUUGGGCCUUCUCGUGCAGAUGCAAUUGCAGCAGUUGGAUCUAACUACACCAAACCAAACAAAAAAUUAAUAGAUGCAUGAAUUUCCAACUGCAAUACAGUUGGAAAUGCAUGCAACCAAACAGCCCCUUAGUGUUGCAUCACUAAAAUUAAAAUAUAUAUCUUGUUAACUAUUGCAAUUAUCUUUUUAUAUUCAUGUUGGACAUAUUAGUAUUAUGAUGGAGUAAACAUGGUCUUAUCUGUAUGUACUUACACCCCGUUUGGAAUGGGUACACGAGGGGGGAUAAGGCGGUUAUCCCCCCUCUUGCAACCUGGUACAAGCCCCUUGUACCAGGUUGUUCUACCCCAGAGAGAGAGAGAGAGAGAGAAAGAGAGAGAUUCUUAUAUCUAUCCCCGAUAUAACUAGUUCUUGCUGAUACUCGAACCAAACGGAGUCACAUAACUUGCAUGACUUUAGGAAAUGCAUCGAAUUCUGUAGAGACUUGAUCAAAUUUUGUUAAUAUACAAGCGUUAUCAGAGAACUGAUUAUGUAUGUACUUUCUAAUGAUAUUAUAUGUAGGAAUAUUGUAUUGAGCGUCGUGACUAGCUAGAGUUGUUGAAUUUGGAACAUCUGAUAUCGUCGAGUGUGCAUGUGUCAAUUUUGAUGUUUGAAUAACAUAGCUAAAAAAUCAAUUAUCACAUCGCUUGGUAUAUAUAAAUAUGCUUGAGCUUGGCGGGAACAUUAUGACUUAAAAAGAAAAAGAAAUGUGAUACUUUUAGAAUUUAAAAUAAUCUAUAUAUAAGAUAUAAUAAGACUAAACCUCUUAACACGGUUAUAAUAUUUUGAGCGCUGAUUAUAGCUACGAAGUUAAUAAGGUUAAAUAUAUUAGGGUUAGAGUACUUCUAGAAUGGAUGAUCCUCCUAGGAUGCAGGGCAUGUUUCCUCAUCAAAAAUCACUUGGAAUAGCGGAAGGCUCUGUGCUUUUGAAAGUAUAUCCAUACCAUCCCUCAAGUGUGUCGAAUCGUUGGCGCUAACCAUUAAUCCCAAAAGCUCGAGCUGCUAGAAAUACGCAAUCAAUUUACUUAAAGCAUACAGAUAAAGCGCCGACGGGUCUUGAUUGUGACUCGGCCCAACCAGCCUCACAGCACUUCGAACAUGAUUUAGCUCGAACAUAACUCGACCCACCCAGGCUCACGCUAUUUUGAAUAUGACUCCGCCCAACAGUGCAGAACGCUGGCCCAUUUAAGCCAACAAUCCUCCCUCUAGCACCUGCACACAUUUACAGCAUGUGGGAAUCGAACCUGUUACCUCUGUCCCCGAUAACACUUGUCGGAUCGUUGACGCUAACCAUUAAUCCCAAAAGCUCGAGUUGUUAGAAAUACGCAACCAAUUCACUUAAAUCAUACAGAUAAAGUGCCCACAAGUUUUGAUUGUGACUCAGUCUAACCAGCCUCAUGCCACUUCGAACAUGACUUGGCCCACCCUAACCUCACGCCAUUUCGAAUAUGACUCGGCCUAAUAUGGCCUCCCGCCACAAGGCAGGAUGCUGGCCUAUUUAAGUCAACAAAGUGGCAGCAUAUUUUUUUUUCUUAUUCUUUUAAGCCUUACAUUUUUUAUAGAAUUCAAAUUCGAAUUCUAAUGUGAAUCUUAUAUAGAUGCGGCGGUCACGAUCUGAUUAUAAGGGUGUUGGUGCCAAUAGAAAAGCGCCACGUGGUGAAUCGGUGCACGGCGCAGCCAGGAGCUCCAAAGCUAGAAAUAAAUGACAUUUGGUGCACCGGGAGUAAGUAACAAAUGGUAACCAACCGCAAGCAGUUUGAGCAGUUGAGAUCGACCUAUAGUGGCCCACGAAAUUAGGGAAGUGGCUGAUCAUAUAAAUAACUAAAAAAUAAUGCACGGAGUAUAAAUAGGCGAAUAACACCUGAAAAAGUGAUCUUUUCCCUACGAAUAGAAAACAACUUUUCAAUUUCUAUGUAUUUUUCUUACAUUUUUAAGAGUAGUCUACUUAUAAUUUUUUUUUCCUUUGCCGCAUUUUCUGUCUUUCUUAAGAGUAAUUUUAAGUUAGAUUUCUGGAGUCUGUAUGCCGCACAGGCACACUCUUUUUUGUACAAGUCUCCAAAUUUAGUUUUAAUAUAUAAAAACAUUCGGCUCUUCAGCCGACCCAAAUCACUGUGCAUUCCGCACAUUCGGCUCAUUCAGCAUUCCGUACAUUCGGCUUAUUCAGCCGAACCAAUUCUACAGUAAAGGAUUUCGAACUCGGCUGAUCCGAUCUGUUAUCAGCCGAAUCGCUUGAUCUAUCGAAGGGCGCAAAUUUCGAGAAUCACCACGUGAAGUCGUAUCAAAUCACUGCACACUUUCCUAGAGAGAUCUUUGACCAGAUCAAAAGUUAAGGAAUUCGGCUCCUAGCAAAGGGGAUUGGAUUGCGAUGCUCCAAUUCCAAACUAUGCCUAAAUCUUUUCGAGUUGGGAUUUGUCUUAGCAUGCCAAUUCACGUUGUGGGCUUAAUUUAUGGAUUUGUUGUUCCACUUAUACAUAGUUCAGAGACGUAUAAUGAUCCAAGUAAGAACGAGCUGAGCUUAAGCUGGUGCAUUUUGUAUCGAGUUCAACUCGAGCUGCUAAGGAAUUUAUUUGUUUGGAUACUUGGGCGCAAAUAACAAUAACAAUAAUAAAUAUUAUUAUUAUUGUUGCUGCUCAGGCCCUACCUCCGGCGCAGGGCACUGCGGCAACCGCAAACCUUCCUGCAGCGUCUACACCAGUCGUUGCUCUAGCCACGACGACGAUGACUGUUUCCGCUAGCGCAAAUGACACCCUUGCAGCGGAGGCGCCUACAUCAGGGCGAAACUGGCAACAAAAGUUUGACCUGCGAAAGUUCACAGGCAAAUCGGAUGAUGGGUAGGCCGUUGAGCGAUGGGUCUCCUGUAUAGAUCGAGAAGCUUUUACGUGACUUGUACAUGAAGGAAUAGAACAAGGUCCCUCUGGCCGCCCACUGUUUAAAACAAUAUCUAUACUCUUGAUCUUGAUUACAAGACUUCUAUCAUCAAUUUUUAAAGAAUGUUCAUUUUCAGCCAUUCAUUUUUGUGUCCACUUGAUGGACAAUAUCAGAAAAAUAUUAAAUUUGGUUUGUAAAUUCUUCAAGUGGUAUAGAUCAUGUUCAACAAUACUGAUCGUCAAUUUGGAGGCUCCAUCAUAAAAAACAAAUAGAUGGCAAUGAAGCUCAUUUGUUAUUAAUAGCAUUCCAACUCAACUCUAUAUAUAUCAUUUACUCUCGAGUUAUUUGUUAUAUAAAACUAUUCUCAUAAAUAAAUUUUUACUAUUUGUUUUUAUUUCAUAU